AAGAAUGUCAAGAAAUGGACACAAAAUCAAUCAAGAGUCAACUAAAGGCUUGCUUUGUUCUUACCCAAAAGGCUUGUUUUGGAGAUUGGUGUCCACUGGCAGAAACUCGGACAGAUGACGUUGGUCUUUUCUGGAGAAAUAAGUAACGUGUGUCCACUCAAUUGCAGCUCCGCCACACUGGGAAGCUGGGGAACCGGGGUUCCAAGGUGCUCAGCGCUCCAAAUGGCCUCCAGAAGAGUAAUCCAUGGGCUGUUUCUGGGCCCUGAAAAUUCAGGAACAACCUCAUCCAACUGAUAGACACAAGGACACCAUUAUUGUGAGAUAAAGAGCUGAAAGAAGGAAGUCUGCAGAAGAGAAGGGGUCUGAGGCUGUAAAAGAGCGACACACCCCUGCCCACCUGUCCCCGCCCCCAUCAUCACCACCACUACCUCCUUUAAUCCUGAAUGAAUUUAAAUUAAAGGCAUUCCAAAGA
Molecule: long non-coding RNA, 472 nt
Organism: Suricata suricatta (meerkat)
Lineage: Eukaryota; Metazoa; Chordata; Mammalia; Carnivora; Herpestidae
Exons: 4
Source: RefSeq, a predicted model, not a curated record